CGGAGGGUGCAAGCGUUAUCCGGAUUCACUGGGUUUAAAGGGUGCGUAGGUGGGUUGGUAAGUCAGUGGUGAAAUCCCCGAGCUUAACUUGGGAACUGCCAUUGAUACUAUCAGUCUUGAAUAUUGUGGAGGUUAGCGGAAUAUGUCAUGUAGCGGUGAAAUGCUUAGAUAUGACAUAGAACACCAAUUGCGAAGGCAGCUGGCUACGCAUAUAUUGACACUGAGGCACGAAAGCGUGGGGAUCAAACAGGAUUAGAUAUCCUGGUAGUCCACGCCCUAAACUAUGGACUACUCGACAUCAGCGAUACACUGUUGGUGUCUGAGCGAAAGCAUUAAGUAUCCCACCUGGGAAGUACGAUCGCAAGAUUG
This 369-nucleotide ribosomal RNA is filed under the name uncultured organism. Its description in RNAcentral is "bacterial SSU rRNA". It matches the Rfam family "Bacterial small subunit ribosomal RNA", at positions 526 to 896 of the family's 1533-position model. The record is from RNAcentral.